ACACAUCCGAUGACACUCCAACUCAAUGUUUCUCACUAAAAUCACUGGUGUCCAAACCAGGAAAUGAGGUCACUCAAAGCCAACCGGACAACAAAUCACUGGUGUCUAAACCCACCUAUCAGGUCACUCAAAGCCAACCGGACAACAAAUCACUGGUGUCUAAACCAGGAAAUGAGGUCACUCAAAGCGAACCCGACAACAAAUCACUGGUGUCUAAACCCACCUAUCAGGUCACUCAAAGCCAACCGGACAACAAAUCACUGGUGUCUAAAACCAGGAAAUGAGGUCACUCAAAGCCAACCCGACAACAAAUCACUGGUGUCUAAACCCACCUAUCAGGUCACUCAAAGCCAACCGGACAACAAAUCACUGGUGUCUAAAACCAGGAAAUGAGGUCACUCAAAGCCAACCGGACAACAAAUCACUGGUGCCCGAAAAAGGAAAUGAGGUCACUUAAAGCCAACCCGACACACCAUUUUGUUAUUACAUUUUGCCAGGGAUGCCCGCCUCCCCUUUAAAUACGGUAGUUUGGUAAAUG
This is a long non-coding RNA of Oncorhynchus keta (chum salmon), 538 nucleotides long. RefSeq lists it as uncharacterized. The transcript is spliced from 3 exons. Lineage: Eukaryota; Metazoa; Chordata; Actinopteri; Salmoniformes; Salmonidae. The record is from RefSeq and is a predicted model, not a curated record.